UAUUUCGGGUAAUCGCUAUAGCAAUAUAGAGGAAAGUCCAUGCUCACACAAUCUGAGAUGAUUGUAGUGUUCGUGCUUGACGAAACAAUAAGUCAAGGCAUUAAAUUGACGGCAACGAAAUAGCCUAAGUCUUCAAAGAUAUGGCUAGAAUAGUUUGAAAGUGCCACAGUGACGUAGCUUUUAUAGAAAUAUAAAGGGUGGAACGCGGUAAACCCCUCGAGUGAGCAAUCCAAAUUAGGUAGGAGCACUUUUUUAGCGGAAUUCAACGUAUAAUUAAGGCAUACCUUUUAAAUUAAAGGUAUGUAGACAGAUGGUUACCACCUGCGUACGAGUGUUACUAGUACACGUUGGCAGUACAAAGGUACAAAACAUGGCUUAUAGAA
RNAcentral lists this RNase P RNA (383 nucleotides) under Staphylococcus gallinarum. RNAcentral's name for it is "RNase P RNA component class B". It matches the Rfam family "Bacterial RNase P class B". From Rfam's summary of the family: Ribonuclease P (RNase P) is a ubiquitous endoribonuclease, found in archaea, bacteria and eukarya as well as chloroplasts and mitochondria. The record is from RNAcentral. Lineage: Bacteria; Bacillati; Bacillota; Bacilli; Caryophanales; Staphylococcaceae.